RNAcentral lists this ribosomal RNA (173 nucleotides) under uncultured bacterium. RNAcentral describes it as "partial 16S ribosomal RNA". It matches the Rfam family "Bacterial small subunit ribosomal RNA", at positions 1320 to 1500 of the family's 1533-position model. The record is from RNAcentral.
AUGAAGCUGGAUUCGCUAGUAAUCGCGCAUCAGCCACGGCGCGGUGAAUACGUUCCCGGGCCUUGUACACACCGCCCGUCAAGCCAUGGAAGCCGGGGGUGCCUGAAGUGCGCUGCCGCAAGGAGCGUCCUAGGGUAAAACCGGUGACUGGGGCUAAGUCGUAACAAGGUAGC